This 219-nucleotide ribosomal RNA is filed under the name Triticum aestivum (bread wheat). Its description in RNAcentral is "partial small subunit ribosomal RNA". The record is from RNAcentral. Lineage: Eukaryota; Viridiplantae; Streptophyta; Magnoliopsida; Poales; Poaceae.
AUGCUCUUAAUGAUCCCGGCUCAUGAUUUAAUUGCCAUGUAUUUAGCUAUUGAGCUUCAAAGUUUAUGUUUUUAUGUGAUCGCAGCAUCAAAAAGAAAGUCUGAAUUUUCCACGGAAGCCGGCUCAAAAUAUUUGAUCUUAGGUGCAUUUCCCUCUGGAAUAUUAUUGUUCGGGUGCGACCGGACUACUACCGAUCAAUUUUUUGGAACUUAUUUAUAG